Molecule: ribosomal RNA, 779 nt
Filed under: fungal sp.
Lineage: Eukaryota; Fungi
Description: SSU rRNA
Rfam family: Eukaryotic small subunit ribosomal RNA
Source: RNAcentral
CGACUUCGGAAGGGGUGUAUUUAUUAGAUAAAAAACCAAUGCCCUUCGGGGCUCCUUGGUGAUUCAUAAUAACUUAACGAAUCGCAUGGCCUUGUGCCGGCGAUGGUUCAUUCAAAUUUCUGCCCUAUCAACUUUCGAUGGUAUGGUCUUGGCUUACCAUGGUUUCAACGGGUAACGGGGAAUUAGGGUUCUAUUCCGGAGAGGGAGCCUGAGAAACGGCUACCACAUCCAAGGAAGGCAGCAGGCGCGCAAAUUACCCAAUCCCGACACGGGGAGGUAGUGACAAUAAAUACUGAUACAGGGCUCUUUUGGGUCUUGUAAUUGGAAUGAGUACAAUUUAAAUCCCUUAACGAGGAACAAUUGGAGGGCAAGUCUGGUGCCAGCAGCCGCGGUAAUUCCAGCUCCAAUAGCGUAUAUUAAAGUUGUUGCAGUUAAAAAGCUCGUAGUUGAACCUUGGGCCUGGCUGGCCGGUCCGCCUCACCGCGUGCACUGGUCCGGCCGGGUCUUUCCUUCUGAGGAGCCGCAUGCCCUUCACUGGGUGUGUCGGGGAAUCAGGACUUUUACUUUGAAAAAAUUAGAGUGUUCAAAGCAGGCCUAUGCUCGAAUACAUUAGCAUGGAAUAAUAGAAUAGGACGUGUGGUUCUAUUUUGUUGGUUUCUAGGACCGCCGUAAUGAUUAAUAGGGAUAGUCGGGGGCAUCAGUAUUCAAUUGUCAGAGGUGAAAUUCUUGGAUUUAUUGAAGACUAACUACUGCGAAAGCAUUUGCCAAGGAUGUUUUCA